CAGCUGUAAACUAUGUGCGUUAGGUGUGUCAGUGACCACGUGUCACUGAGGUGCCGAAGGGAAACCGUGAAACGCACCGCCUGGGGAGUACGGUCGCAAGGCUGAAACUUAAAGGGAAUUGGGCGGGGGAGCACCACAACGGGUGGAGCCUGCGGUUUAAUCGGACUCAACGCCGGGAAUCUCACCGGAUAAGACAGCUGAAUGAUAGUCGGGAUGAAGACUCUACUUGACUAGCUGAGAGGAGGUGCAUGGCGUCAGUGACU
RNAcentral lists this ribosomal RNA (263 nucleotides) under uncultured archaeon. RNAcentral's name for it is "partial 16S ribosomal RNA". It matches the Rfam family "Archaeal small subunit ribosomal RNA", at positions 748 to 1008 of the family's 1478-position model. The record is from RNAcentral.